This 275-nucleotide ribosomal RNA is filed under the name uncultured bacterium. Its description in RNAcentral is "partial 16S ribosomal RNA". It matches the Rfam family "Bacterial small subunit ribosomal RNA", at positions 335 to 602 of the family's 1533-position model. The record is from RNAcentral.
UGUCCUACGGGGCGCAGCAGUAGGGAAUCUUCCACAAUGGACGAAAGUCUGAUGGAGCAACGCCGCGUGAGUGAAGAAGGGUUUCGGCUCGUAAAGCUCUGUUGGUAGUGAAGAAAGAUAGAGGGAGUAACUGGCCUUUAUUUGACGGUAAUUACUUAGAAAGUCACGGCUAACUACGUGCCAGCAGCCGCGGUAAUACGUAGGUGGCGAGCGUUAUCCGGAAUGAUUGGGCGUAAAGGGUGCGCAGGCGGUCCUGCAAGUCUGGAGUGAAACGC